AUACAUGCAAGUCGAGCGGAGUUGCUUGCUUCGGGGUAAGCUUAGCGGCGGACGGGUGAGUAACACGUAGGCAACCUACCCUCUAGACUGGGAUAACUACCGGAAACGGUAGCUAAUACCGGAUAAUUCCUUGACCCACCUGGGUUUGGGAUGAAAGGCGGAGCAAUCUGCUGCUAGAGGAUGGGCCUGCGGCGCAUUAGCUAGUUGGUGGGGUAACGGCCUACCAAGGCGACGAUGCGUAGCCGACCUGAGAGGGUGAACGGCCACACUGGGACUGAGACACGGCCCAAACUACUACGGGAGGCAGCAGUAGGGAAUCUUCCGCAAUGGGCGAAAGCCUGACGGAGCAACGCCGCGUGAGUGAUGAAGGUUUUCGGAUCGUAAAGCUCUGUUGCCAGGGAAGAACGUCCGGUAGAGUAACUGCUACCGGAGUGACGGUACCUGAGAAGAAAGCCCCGGCUAACUACGUGCCAGCAGCCGCGGUAAUACGUAGGGGGCAAGCGUUGUCCGGAAUUAUUGGGCGUAAAGCGCGCGCAGGCGGCUGCUUAAGUCUGGUGUUUAAACCUUGGGCUCAACCUGGGGUCGCACUGGAAACUGGGCAGCUUGAGUACAGAAGAGGAAAGUGGAAUUCCACGUGUAGCGGUGAAAUGCGUAGAGAUGUGGAGGAACACCAGUGGCGAAGGCGACUUUCUGGGCUGUAACUGACGCUGAGGCGCGAAAGCGUGGGGAGCAAACAGGAUUAGAUACCCUGGUAGUCCACGCCGUAAACGAUGAGUGCUAGGUGUUAGGGGUUUCGAUACCCUUGGUGCCGAAGUUAACACAGUAAGCACUCCGCCUGGGGAGUACGGUCGCAAGACUGAAACUCAAAGGAAUGGACGGGGACCCGCACAAGCAGUGGAGUAUGUGGUUUAAUUCGAAGCA
Molecule: ribosomal RNA, 921 nt
Filed under: Paenibacillus sp.
Lineage: Bacteria; Bacillati; Bacillota; Bacilli; Caryophanales; Paenibacillaceae
Description: bacterial SSU rRNA
Rfam family: Bacterial small subunit ribosomal RNA
Source: RNAcentral